Alligator mississippiensis (American alligator) is the source of this 1487-nucleotide long non-coding RNA. RefSeq lists it as uncharacterized. NCBI's taxonomy places the organism in Eukaryota, Metazoa, Chordata, Crocodylia, Alligatoridae. The record is from RefSeq and is a predicted model, not a curated record. The transcript has 3 exons.
UUUUAACCCAGGCCCUCAGAAAGAGAAGUAGUAGUCUGAGCUGAGCAGAUAUCAGGCUGAGCAGCUUUUGGAACACCUUGGAGAUUGUGACUCUCCCCAUUGUAGGAGAACUCUGCAACCUUCAAGAUGGAAAAGGCCACCUUCAGUUCUUACUGAUGUCAUUGGGAUUUUUCAGCUUCUGCUGUACUUGUGGAUGAAAGUGAAGGCUGUAAAGAGCUUCUACAUAGUUUAACAUGCAGCACAUGGUGACAAGCGUAUAACAGCACCAUGUUUCCCAGAAUCAGAUUCUGGUCAACAGGCUGAUCUAGCAACUCCAGGAACUGCCUCUCUUGAUGAAAGACUGAUGUAGCAGGCUCACCUUUCAGAGCUUGGGUUGAGUCCCAGGCUUGAGAUCCUGCUGUUUUGAUUGGUAGAGCCCAUCCACCAAUCAGGAGACAGUAGGAGAAAACAUCACACCCCUUUUCUGAGGGGAAAGGGAGUAGAGCUCCCUCAGACCUGAUUGAAGACUAAACUGUCAGGUAUGGAAGACUUCAGGGGUGGAGCCCUGGAGCAUAUAAAAGGAGCUGUGUUCCCAGCAAGAGGGCAGAUGCAGCGAGGGUCUCAAGAAGAGCGGAGCCAAGAAAAGCUGGGGAGCUGUCCCUCAGUGGGCAAAAGGUCCAAGGCUCCUGAAGCUGCCACUGAAGGAGCAGCCUUGGGACUGGUGCGAGACCGCUCGGGCUGUUGAUGGUGCACAGGGAUGGUGCAUGGAGACCCAGCCCUAGGAGUGAUGUGAUACUGCUCAGGCCCAUCACGGUGCACAGUUCAGUGCACAGAGCCCAGGCUUUGGGAGCUGCAAGCAGUGGCUUGAGCCUGCAACCCCAGCAGGGCCUUGGGGGCUGCAGUAAGGUGGCUCAGGCCCCAUCUCCCAGCAAGCGGCCAGGUCCCACGGUGCACAGGGCAAUGCACAGGCCCAAGCCUUGGGAGCCAGGGAGCAGCAGAGGACAGCUGGCCAGAGCCUGAAGGGCCCAGCCUACACUGAGAGCCCUCAGUUUCGAGUCGGGGCACAGGGAAAUAGUAGUGCUGCAGCGUGAGGCCCAGCACCCAGGCACCAGCAGCAGUAGUGCAACAGCUGAGAGGAGGUGAGCCCUCAGUGCCCAGAGGGGGCACAGGGUGGAGAGGAGCCCAGCAGUGCAGGAGAGACCUGGAGAGGCACUGCAGCAGAGGAGACCCCAUCGAGCUGUGCAAAAAUGUUUGGGGUGGGCAAACCCAGAGAAGGGGCUGGGUGAACAUCCCCCUGCCUAGUCAAGACACUAAGGGGAGGGGCCCCAGGUGCUUCCUGGACACCCCCCAGGGACCCCAUUGGAAGGAGGACUAUUUCUUGCCAUGCAUCAGGGACUAUAUUAAGGAAAUAGAUGUUAUUAAAAUUGUUCAUGUUUGCGCCUUAUGUUUUGUAAUUGAAAUGUUGUAUUGUGAUUUUGUAAAUAGUGUUAUUUAGGGUUUGACCUUGG